CUCAACCCCGGAACUGCUUCGGAUACUGGAGGGCUUGAGUGCUCUAGAGGGCAGUGGAAUUCCCGGUGUAGCAGUGAAAUGCGUAGAGAUCGGGAGGAACACCAGUGGCGAAGGCGACUGCCUGGGGAGUAACUGACGCUGAGGCGCGAAAGCUGGGGGAGCAAACGGGAUUAGAUACCCCGGUAGUCCCAGCCGUAAACGAUGAGUGCUAGGUGUAGCGGGUAUCGACCCCCGCUGUGCCGCAGUUAACGCACUAAGCACUCCGCCUGGGGAGUACGGCCGCAAGGUUGAAACUCAAAGGAAUUGACGGGGGCCCGCACAAGCGGUGGAGCAUGUGGCUUAAUUCGAUGCAACGCGAAGAACCUUACCUGGGCUCGAACGCUAGGCGACCGCUCCUGAAAGGGAGCUUUCCGCAAGGACGC
Molecule: ribosomal RNA, 422 nt
Filed under: uncultured bacterium
Lineage: Bacteria
Description: partial 16S ribosomal RNA
Rfam family: Bacterial small subunit ribosomal RNA
Source: RNAcentral